Molecule: non-coding RNA, 4085 nt
Organism: Pelobates cultripes (western spadefoot toad)
Lineage: Eukaryota; Metazoa; Chordata; Amphibia; Anura; Pelobatidae
Source: the annotation of a GenBank genome assembly
ACUAAAUUCAGUUUCACUUUUCACAUCAUAUAAAUAAUGUUUCUUGCUUUUUAUUUUCACACCGGGGCAUAAGAAAAAUUCCUCUAACAAUUAAGCCAGCUAUGGACAAUCUUCACCAGGACCCCUGAACAUGCAGAUAUAAAAUCGGUAAUGUAUAUUUAUUAUUCACAUUUCAAACUGAUCAGUUAAACAGGCCUUUUAUCUGAACACUGCAUUUUAUAGUGACAGACUAUAAAUAUCUGUGUACAAUCUGCACAUGAUUUGUAAAUCAUGCAAAGCAAAAUCUGUGCGUUGAGUAUCUAAUGACUUGGAUUUGCCAUGGUCCCACGAGGUCAAUAUUAUCCUGAUUUAUAAGGCAGCUUUUGGUGUAUGUUUUUUUUUUUUUUACAAUUCCAGCACCGUGUCUCUGCUCUCAUUAUCUGCACGGUGUCCUAGUGAGUUCUGGUGGGAGUUUUAUGACUGCAUUAAAUAAAUUGGACUUGCCCAGAUUUUCUCGAAGAAUAAUGUCCUGUUGGUCAAGCACAACCUAUUACCUGUAACCAACCUGAGUCAAUAUAUAUUCUAUCUCUCCUAGUUCAUCUGUUUACCUUUAGCCAUUAUCCUUUUCUUUAUAUAUAUAUCUGUCUUUUGUUACAUACGUGAUUGUGCACUUAUUGCCUGAACGGACAUAUUAUCUGCCUAACAGAAUGAUCUUUUACUGAAAACCCUAGAGAAAAGGAACAGGAAAUCUUACAGGCAAAGACAAAAAGAUGACAAUUUAAAGAAUAGAGAAGGUGGUUUAAAGCAACACUAUAGUCAGAAACUCAGCAAAAACAACCUUAACUUAAAGAAGCAGUUUUGGUGUGUAGCUUAUGCCCCUGCAGUCUCACUGCUCAAUUCUCUGCAAUUUUGGCAUUAGCUUAUUUAUUCGUUUCUGUCAAGGCAGCCCUAGCAACACCUCCCCUGGCAGUGACUGACACAAUCUGCAUGAAAACAAAAUGGUUUUACUUUCAAUCAGAUGAUACUUUACAGAAGAAGUUUUUAUCUCCUGUGAUUUGAACUUCAAUCACAUACAGCAAGGUCUGUUUGUUAAGUUAUUAACAGUGCAAUAGAUAAAAUCAAUUCUAAAAUAAACAGAAUGUGCAAUUAAGCUAAAGUUGGUUUGGUGACUACAACGUCCCUUUAAUAGUUGGUUCUAACCUUGUCCUUCGUCUGGUUUAAUGGCUACAAGUAGUGAUGUCCCGAACUGUUCGCCGAACUGUUUGCGAACGGUUCGCCACGGUUCGCCACAAACUCCAGUCAGCAGAAACAUUCCAGCCAAUCAGCAGCAGACACUCCCUCCCAGACCCUCCCACCUCCUGGACAGCAUCAGUGAAACUUUUUUCCAGGCAUUCUUAGUGAGCUAUCCAGGAGGUGGGAGGGGCUGGGAGGGAGGGUCUGCUGCUGAUUGGCUGGAAUGUGUCUGCUGACUGGAGUCCGUGGCGAACCGCGGCGAACCGUUCAGCGAACAGUUCGGGACAUCACUAGCUACAAGGCUUUGUGAGCGGAACUUGAAUGAAUAGAAGACAGAACAAAUAGAAGACAUAUCACUUUUAGCAUCCAAUCGGAAACGCCAACACCUAGAGUCCUGGUUUGUGUCUCAAAGAACUGAACCUAGACAUUUGUGUUUAUGUUUGGAAGAAUUUUUUAUUUUUUUAUCAUAGAGGAUGUUGUCAUUGUUCUUUAAUCACUGAUGACUUGUGCCACUCUUUAAUGAAUAUAAUUGUCAGAAUACCUGGGAUCCUAAAUGGUUCACCUGAUCUGAAUCCCUAGUUAGGAAUUGGUAUUUAAUGAUUAAUUGAAGAUUCCCUGUGCAGGGUCAGCCACAGCUCCCUCUUGUGUUUACUUGAUUCCUGAUCGCCUGAUUGUAUCAGCCUUUGCCAAAUGUAUCCAACCAUUGGUUUAUUGACUCGCUCAUGUUUUAUAUGGGAAUUUCCAAUUGUAAUUAAUAUUCCAAUCAUUCUCAGACAUCCAUAUUAUCCAGGCUAUGGGACUAGUUAGCUGUUCAUGUAAACAUACUCAUUACACAACUGGUUUAUGGGGACUUCUUUGUAAGAUUUACCGUGAUUCCAUCGUAUCCCUUUGUUCAGGGAUUUCAUCAAUCAUAGCUGCAUAUUCUUAAUAUAAUAUAAAUAUAGUGACUGUUUUCAACCUGGCUGUUCUACACAGCUCUCCCUGUUUCCAAAUGGACUGUGGUGGUCAAUGUCUGUAGGUCUGUAACUGCUUAACAUCUGUAGUACUUUUCUUGAUAAUUACCUUGAGAUUAAAAUUGACAUGAUUUUUAUCCUCAAUCCAGAUCUUCAAGGUUACAGAACAAAUUGUUCCUACUUUGUUUUCUUAAUACCAAGAGACUAUCUACAUCAGGGUUAGGCAACCUUCGGCAAUCAUAUAAUCAUACAAAAUCCUGACUCCUUUAGAAAGAGAACAGUGGACCAAAAAUCUACAGUCUGUCUUAAACAAAAUUCACCUCUUAGCAGUUUGUUUUGAUGGUUGUCUCAUGUUAUGAUAACCAUUAUGACUUAUUAAAAUAUAAUGCCUUACUGUGUAAAUGUAUGGGCUUAUGGGGUGUGGGAAGGACAGGGCUUCUGGUUGUCCAGUCUAUAUCUAGAAAUAUAAGCUGAUUACAAACCACUGCACAUAACAUGUCAACUGGACCUUCUCACCGCACACACUGCACACACAGCACACACAGCACACACAGCACACACUGCAAACACUGCAAAAGCAGCACACACCGCACUCACUGCACACACAGCACACACAGCACACACUGCAAACACCGCAAGAGCAGCACACACCGCACACACCGCACACACAGCACACACUGCAAACACAGCAAGAGCAACACACACCGCAUUCACUGCACACACAGCACACACAGCACACACAGCACACACUGCAAACACUGCAAGAGCAGCACACACCGCACACACCGCACACACAGCACACACUGCAAACACCGCAAGAGCAGCACACACUGCACACACCGCACACACAGCACACACUGCAAACACAGCAAGAGCAACACACACCGCAUUCACUGCACACGCAGCACACACAGCACACACAGCACACACUGCAAACAUUGCAAGAGCAGCACACACCGCACACACCGCACACACCGCACACACCGCAAGAGCAGCACACACCGCACACACUGCACACACCGCACACACCGCACACACCGCACACACCGCACACACAGCACACACAGCACACACAGCACACACAGCAAGAGCAACACACACCGCACACACUGCACACACAGCACACACCGCACACUGGAAUUACUGUUUUGAAUAGUUUGGACUAAAAAGUUAUUUUCAAUGUCUAGAUUGUCAUUUAGGACAUUUAUAUAAACUAGCCUUAGUAUAUCUUUUGUAAAAGUGCACAAAAUACAUGGUAAAGAAGACAUUGCAGUAGUUUUUGUUGUCCACUGCACACGGCAUUUGUUUUAUAACCUUGGUCUUAAAAUAAAUGACAGAUUACACCCCUUUAAAUCUGCACCGAUUACAGAUGUUUUCACAUUAGAUUUUUACAUUUACUCAUAGCAUUAGUGUCUAAAUACUUUAUGUUUUCUUUUAGAAACUUAUGUUUUACUCUUGGAUGCAUUUAUUGUCAUAAGUCUUGCAAUGAUUGGAGAUGACUGGAGAACAUACUACAAUGCACUAAAAGGUGGAGGACAGAUACAUGGAAUGAUCUGGGGAUAAUGCGUCUCUUUGAAUACGGUGAACAUUGCACUUUGACAUGGGGUCAUUUUCUGGAACUGUGUUUCCUUGCUGUUCUGCUCGAGUGGGUUGUGCUUUGCAGUCUUUGCAUUCGUUUUUUUUUUUUUUUUUAUCUUCUGAUAGAAGUCUGGGAACUGCAUAAAUUAAAAAAAAAAUUGUUAUUGUGUUCCUUACUUUUUCUUCUUUAAGAGAAUAAUUCUUUACAAUUUAGAAACCUAACCCUGACAUUACAUGUAAAAAAUAAAGGUUGGAUUGUGACGUGCCUCUAAAGCUUUCUCAGCAGUUUCUAUAAUGUUCCACUGAGAUUAAUAUGACCCCUGUUUUUCACAGGUAUUUGGG